UAGGAAUUUUGUAGAUAUUAACAUAAAAUCAGACUUCCUCUUCUCCAUUCCUUCUUCUUCUUAAAAAAUUCAAAGAUGAGAACCAUUUUUUAUAAUCAGAUUUUUCCCAUUCAGUUGUAGCGUGAUUGAAAUUUUGGACACGAUUGAGUGUUGUUGCUGAGGUAUUGUUCUAUAUUUUAUUAUUUUUUUAAUUUGUGUAUUGAGAGAAAAAAGUUGAAGAAUAGAUUUGAUUUCAGUUUGUUGAAGCUUUUAGUCUUUUUUUUGAAUUAC
Molecule: long non-coding RNA, 270 nt
Filed under: Nicotiana benthamiana
Lineage: Eukaryota; Viridiplantae; Streptophyta; Magnoliopsida; Solanales; Solanaceae
Description: long non-coding RNA (NBEN_LNC001498)
Source: RNAcentral